This 497-nucleotide ribosomal RNA is filed under the name uncultured bacterium. RNAcentral's name for it is "partial 16S ribosomal RNA". It matches the Rfam family "Bacterial small subunit ribosomal RNA", at positions 28 to 507 of the family's 1533-position model. The record is from RNAcentral.
GAUGAACGCUGGCGGCGUGCCUAAUACAUGCAAGUCGAGCGAACAGACGAGGAGCUUGCUCCUCUGACGUUAGCGGCGGACGGGUGAGUAACACGUGGAUAACCUACCUAUAAGACUGGGAUAACUUCGGGAAACCGGAGCUAAUACCGGAUAACAUGUUGAACCGCAUGGUUCAACAGUGAAAGACGGUUUUGCUGUCACUUAUAGAUGGAUCCGCGUCGCAUUAGCUAGUUGGUAAGGUAACGGCUUACCAAGGCAACGAUGCGUAGCCGACCUGAGAGGGUGAUCGGCCACACUGGAACUGAGACACGGUCCAGACUCCUACGGGAGGCAGCAGUAGGGAAUCUUCCGCAAUGGGCGAAAGCCUGACGGAGCAACGCCGCGUGAGUGAAGAAGGUCUUCGGAUCGUAAAACUCUGUUAUUAGGGAAGAACAAAUGUGUAAGUAACUAUGCACGUCUUGACGGUACCUAAUCAGAAAGCCGCGGCUAACUACGUG